RNAcentral lists this ribosomal RNA (859 nucleotides) under uncultured bacterium. RNAcentral describes it as "bacterial SSU rRNA". It matches the Rfam family "Bacterial small subunit ribosomal RNA", at positions 62 to 922 of the family's 1533-position model. The record is from RNAcentral.
UCGACGGAGCUCUUUUUCGGAGUUUUCGGAUGGAAGAGGAAGUAGCUUAGUGGCGAACGGGUGAGUAACACGUGAGGGACCUGCCUUAAAGAGGGGGACAACAGUUGGAAACGACUGCUAAUACCGCAUAAGCCCACGGUGCCGCAUGGCACAGGGGGAAAAGGAGAAAUCCGCUUUAAGAUGGACUCGCGUCCAAUUAGCUAGAUGGUGAGGUAAAGGCUCACCAUGGCGACGAUUGGUAGCCGGACUGAGAGGUUGAACGGCCACAUUGGGACUGAGACACGGCCCAGACUCCUACGGGAGGCAGCAGUGGGGAAUAUUGCACAAUGGGGGAAACCCUGAUGCAGCGACGCCGCGUGGAGGAAGAAGGUUUUCGGAUUGUAAACUCCUGUCUUCGGGGACGAUAAUGACGGUACCCGAGGAGGAAGCCACGGCUAACUACGUGCCAGCGGCCGCGGUAAAACGUAGGUGGCAAGCGUUGUCCGGAAUUACUGGGCGUAAAGGGAGCGCAGGCGGGUCGGUAAGUUGGGAGUGAAAACUAUGGGCUCAACCCAUAAAUUGCUUUCAAAACUGCUGAUCUUGAGUGGUGUAGAGGUAGGCGGAAUUCCCGGUGUAGCGGUGGAAUGCGUAGAUAUCGGGAGGAACACCAGUGGCGAAGGCGGCCUACUGGCACUAACUGACGCUGAGGCUCGAAAGCAUGGGUAGCAAACAGGAUUAGAUACCCUGGUAGUCCAUGCCGUANACGAUGAUUACUAGGUGUGNGGGGAUUAACCCCCUCCGUGCCGCAGUUAACACAAUAAGUAAUCCACCUGGGGAGUACGACCGCAAGGUUGAAACUCAAAGGAAUUGACGGGGGCCC